UUUCCGUAGGUGAACCUGCGGAAGGAUCAUUAUUGUAUAACCGAGGUGCGAGGGCUGUCGCUGACCCGAAAGGUCGUGCACGCCCGAGUGCCCUCACACACAUCCAUCUCACCCCUAUGUGCACCACCGCGUGGGUCCUCUCUUGGCUCGUUCGGAGGGGGGCUUACGUUUUCACACAAACUUUGUAUGCAGUGUAGAAUGUAUUUUUUGUUUUUGCGAUCACGCAAUCAAUACAACUUUCAACAACGGAUCUCUUGGCUCUC
RNAcentral lists this unclassified non-coding RNA (263 nucleotides) under plant metagenome. RNAcentral's name for it is "partial contains small subunit ribosomal RNA, internal transcribed spacer 1, and 5.8S ribosomal RNA". The record is from RNAcentral.